RNAcentral lists this long non-coding RNA (384 nucleotides) under Salvia miltiorrhiza (redroot sage). RNAcentral's name for it is "long non-coding RNA (SMIL_LNC003922)". Lineage: Eukaryota; Viridiplantae; Streptophyta; Magnoliopsida; Lamiales; Lamiaceae. The record is from RNAcentral.
GAAAGGAGUGGGCGGUUGAAGAUGUGAUCCUAGAGAUUAAAGCUAGAACUUGGUGUUGGUAUAAAACCUUUGGUAUUUUUGAUAAGGAGUUGAACUUUUCUGUUUGGAGCUCCGAGGACUUAAUCUCCCGAGUGAUGUAAUUUCUGGUACUGCUGGUACAAUGGUUUGAUUAAUGAAAUUGCUUGAACACAAAAAAAAAUUAAUUUUUUCUUAAACAAAUUGGUUAUUUAGGAUUAUUAACACUUUUGUUAUUGUUGUUAGUGUUUAUUAUUAUUAUUAGGGCAAAGGUGCACAUUAGCCCCUAAACAUGGCACCCCUAUAGCUUUUACCCCCCGAGAAUCGGUCAAGGCCCGUCGACCUCCCCGAACUCUCGAAAGAAGGGUG